Molecule: non-coding RNA, 509 nt
Organism: Capra hircus (goat)
Lineage: Eukaryota; Metazoa; Chordata; Mammalia; Artiodactyla; Bovidae
Source: the annotation of a RefSeq genome assembly
CUUCGGGUAGAGGAGAAGGCACUCCAGUAAUUGGGCAAGGAGUCAUGAAGAGAAAAUGGGGAAUCCUGCUGGGGCUUCUAUGCAUCCAGAUUUGCUGGGUGACGGGAGUGAAGGUGGAGCAGAGUCCUUCAGUCUUGAGCCUCCAGGAGGGAGCCAACUCUACUCUGUGGUGCAAUUUUUCUGACAUAGUGAGCAGUGUGCAGUGGUUCCAGCAGAAUCCUGAAGGCAGCCUCAUCAGUCUGUUUUUCAUAGCUUCAGGGACGAAGCAGAAUGAAAGGCUGAGUUCCACAGUGAAUUCUAAGGAGCAGUAUAGUACACUACACAUCACAGCCUCCCAGCUGGAAGACACAGCCACCUACCUCUGUGUGGUGGAGGCACAGUGCUCCCAGGUGAUCUGCAGCCUGUACCCAAACUGCAGCUGCCUCAGCCAUGGUCCCUUCCACAGGACAGACUUGCACAGCAGCGUUUGCACAGCAUUAGGUUCCCUGAUUCAUUUUGUCAGUAUUUAA